This 497-nucleotide ribosomal RNA is filed under the name uncultured bacterium. Its description in RNAcentral is "partial 16S ribosomal RNA". It matches the Rfam family "Bacterial small subunit ribosomal RNA", at positions 28 to 507 of the family's 1533-position model. The record is from RNAcentral.
GAUGAACGCUGGCGGCGUGCCUAAUACAUGCAAGUCGAGCGAACGGACGAGAAGCUUGCUUCCCUGAUGUUAGCGGCGGACGGGUGAGUAACACGUGGAUAACCUACCUAUAAGACUGGGAUAACUUCGGGAAACCGGAGCUAAUACCGGAUAAUAUUUUGAACCGCAUGGUUCAAAAGUGAAAGACGGUCUUGCUGUCACUUAUAGAUGGAUCCGCGCUGCAUUAGCUAGUUGGUAAGGUAACGGCUUACCAAGGCAACGAUGCAUAGCCGACCUGAGAGGGUGAUCGGCCACACUGGAACUGAGACACGGUCCAGACUCCUACGGGGGGCAGCAGUAGGGAAUCUUCCGCAAUGGGCGAAAGCCUGACGGAGCAACGCCGAGUGAGUGAUGAAGGUCUUCGGAUCGUAAAACUCUGUUAUUAGGGAAGAACAUAUGUGUAAGUAACUGUGCACAUCUUGACGGUACCUAAUCAGAAAGCCACGGCUAACUACGUG